GGGGGCGUAGCCAAGAGGAAAGGCACAGGGCUUUCAUCCCUGCAUACGCGGGUUCAAAUCCCGUCGCCCCAACCA
Molecule: transfer RNA, 75 nt
Filed under: Caudoviricetes sp.
Lineage: Duplodnaviria; Heunggongvirae; Uroviricota; Caudoviricetes
Description: tRNA-Glu
Rfam family: tRNA
About the family: Transfer RNA (tRNA) molecules are approximately 80 nucleotides in length. Their secondary structure includes four short double-helical elements and three loops (D, anti-codon, and T loops).
Source: RNAcentral